This 200-nucleotide long non-coding RNA is filed under the name Elaeis guineensis (African oil palm). RNAcentral's name for it is "long non-coding RNA (EGUI_LNC004317)". The record is from RNAcentral. Lineage: Eukaryota; Viridiplantae; Streptophyta; Magnoliopsida; Arecales; Arecaceae.
GGAGAGUUAAUUUUAAAUUAUAUUUCAAAUAAAAAAUAUUUUUUAUUUAAAAUUUAAAUAAAAAAUUAUUUUUAAAUAUAAAUUUAAAUAAAAUAUUUUUAUUAAUUUAUUUUUUUUAUUUUAUAUCCCGAGCAGCCAAACAUUAUAGUUGUUGGUUGGCUGGCAUCUUUCCCAAAAGGGUGUAGGCCAUAACCCAACUC